Sapajus apella (tufted capuchin) is the source of this 4244-nucleotide long non-coding RNA. RefSeq lists it as uncharacterized. The transcript has 3 exons. The record is from RefSeq and is a predicted model, not a curated record. NCBI's taxonomy places the organism in Eukaryota, Metazoa, Chordata, Mammalia, Primates, Cebidae.
GCAUGCAUAUGUUUAAAAACAGGAAGGUAGACAUCAUUGUAUUGAUGCUUUUGGAAUUGUUAAAUAACAACACUAUUAUUACUAGGAAUAGUAGCUAACCCAAGCACUGACCCAAAUUAUUUACAUAAUAACUAUUGAAAUAUCCUCCUAAAUAUAAUCCUUGUUACCAGCCUUCUUGUAUAUUCAUAUCUAUUCUGACUUUAUUUUUCAAACUGUCAAGAUAGAAAUCUUUCUAAUAAUGCAUAUUUGAUUCUUACUUGUAGGUUAAAACCUAAUUUUAAAAAAUUUCUGCUGGAACUUAGAAACUUUCAUGGGAAAACAAGAUGGGAUAAUUUUGUGGCAUGGCUUACAAAAAUCGUUAUAAUCUGGCUGUCCUGACUUCUCAGACAUAAUCCCUGGGAAUCAUCACUAAUCUCAUCAGUCAAAGCCAAAUCAUACUUUGGUGUUUUUCCCUCAAAGCCAUUCAGCUGUUUUUCUCUUUUGAUUGUCCCUGUAUCUUUACUAUCUUCUCAAACUGCCUAAAAUAUUCCUGUGCAUCCAUCAAGACUCAUCUCACCAUUCGGUUCUGGAAAGUUUUCCUUAAUUUGACUAAGCAGCAUUAAUCUUUCUCCUUUUAUAUCAGUAGGUUUUUCAUGCCUUCAUCAACUGGAGCAUUUUUCUAUUAUUUUUCCUUAAUGUGCAUGACUUUUUUCACCUUACCCAGACUUUAUGAUGCUGCCAUAUCUAUUCACUUCUAGCACAGUGCUCCUGAUACAGCGGAAAUGUUUAGUCAAUGUGUAAAUGAGCAAAUGAAUGAAAUUGGUUAAGUGGCUUUAGACUUUAAAAUUCAAUAUUGUUUUUAAAUCUACAAUUGCACUAAUACUAUAAAAAUAUGCUUAUUCUAGGUAAAAAAAUAAUAAUAUUUCUACCCUAUUUCUGUCCCUAGAGACACUAUUAUACAUAAAUAAGUAUAUAAACCCACAGAUUUAGAUUUUCAUUUUUAAAUAGUUAUACAAAUAAUAUCAUACUCUGGAAAAUGUCUCUUGCUCUUUUUUGCUCAAAACUUUAUCUUAAUUCUCUUCUUAUAAGAUUAUAAAUAAUCUCAUUCUUUUAAACCAGAAAUAUAAUCAAUAGUCUGUAAUUAGUUUAAUUUAUUAAACCUAUCCUCCAUUAAUAGUACUUAAGUCAUUUCUAUUGUUUUCACUAUAGUAAAACAAAGUAAUGUUACUCUGAAUAUCUUUAUGUACAUGCACACACAUGUGUAAUUGUGACUGUGUGAACACAAAGUUUAGAUCACUUGAACUGAAAUUAAACACCUAAGAGUGUACAUUUACGAUUUGGAUACACAAUGCUAUAUAAUUCUUCAAAAUUGUAAUCAAUAUUACCUGCUCAUUACAGUAAAAUAAUUUAAGAAAUAAAUCAAUAGAAAAGACUCAGAUUCAAUAAAAUUCUUCCUAGUCAUUUAUUUUCCCCAGAAAAUUGGCAAAGGGUUAUCAUAAUUACAUUUCAAGAAGUGAGUAGGAUUUUCUAUCUCCAAAAUAAUCUAAAUCUACAAUACAUAAUGUGAUAUUCAAAUAAGCAUAGUUUUAUUAUUACUGACUCGUAGUAUACUAACAACUAAAAGAUACACUAUAUUCAUACAUAAUGAAAUUGGCUAUUGAAUGUAUUGGUAGUAUAAUAUCAGGUGUUUGGAUUUAAAAGUAUUUUAAACCAGUAGCUUUAUAACAGAUUUAGGCUGCAUGAUUAACCAUUGUGGUCAAAUUGGAGAAUUAAUAGGUUUUUGGAUUUGCCUUUAUAUUAAGGGGCUCAAUAUUGAAGCACAGAAAAUUGUUAAAUUUGGAAGGAUCAUUCAUAUUCACUAUUUCAGCAAAUUUGGUUUGAGCAGUAUAGAAAGAAUCACUUGAGUCAAGUAAAAUGUACUGUUUUAUGAUUAGAGAAGAGAGUCAAUAUAAGGCUUUUGGUGCAUACUAUAUCAAUUGUAAGAUAUCUCAUAGGCUAGGAAUUAUUCUUCACAUUUUAGGCAAUAUUGAUAAAUUACAUAACUGAAAAGAAUUUACUCACCUUGUGUGGGCAUAAAUCCCAAAUCUAAUUGACUUUAAAUUAUGUUAGUCAAAUCUAUUGUUUAUUUGGCUUCAGAAAAAACAAUUCCACUGAAAAACAGCUGAAGGAUAUUUGGGAGUUAUAUCUUUAGUUACAAUAUUCAAUUACAAAAUUGGCAGUCAGAAAACAAACCAGCGAUUGCAAAUACAAAAACAUUAUUUCUUACCUUGUUUAAAUAUAGAAUUUAUAUUCAUUUGGCAAAAGUGUUAUCAUGCAAAAUAUCAAUAAAAUAAGCAUAUUGAAAACAGACUGAAAAUUCACAUUCCAAUUCAAGAUUCUCAGUGUUCUGAUUCAUUUAGAUAAUAACCAACCAGCUGCCUAGAGAUUGUCUGGAGGAUGUCCGUUAAUAGUGACAUAUCUACAAGUACACGGAGAUAUCUAAUUUUAAAGUUUGCUAUAACCUAUUGCCUUUGACAUUUAAAAAUAUAUUAAAAUGUCUUAUUUUGCAAAAGCUAUCUCAUUGGUAGUGAGUUGCCAAUUCUUUUUCUCUUUUUUUCUGGCAACCAUGAAACCCAGAUGCUAAGCACUGGAAGAUAUUUCUUCCAAUAGCAGCAUCUGGCGUGCUGGCAGACUCCAUAAGCAAUUUUGUUUUACGGCUUUAAAGCAGCUUCUGGGUCUAUUACAUGGUUAAUCUGAUGGGCUGUCUGGGCUGUCUUGUCCUCCUGGAUGCCAUAUGCCAACAGCUAGAGAUGCAGUGAACUGUCUGCCCAUUAGGGCUGCUAUAAAGAGAACACCUGAAAAAAAUCAGCUGCAAAGAGUGUGCUCCACUUCUGUUCAGCUAUUACAGUACGAGCGAUGAGUGACCUGGCUAAAAUAGUGCUAAAAACUUGCCAAAAAUGUUCAAUGCCCUCUGAACACCAGGGAAGAUGAAAAAAAAGCUGGAAAUAAUGAAAUAUUCAGGAUAUCAUUGUAUCAUUUGAUACUGAAACAAGCAUUUGCUUUUAUUCCCCACGCAAGAGAAGGAACAGGAAAUGAGAAGUAGAACUGUGAGGAUGACAGACACAAAUUUGAUUGCUGCUCUUCUGUGGCAAAUGGCUCAUGAGAGGCUGAUUUCCCUGAUAGAGAUUGUGUCUAAUUCAUUUUUAUACUUUCAGGGCCUACCAAAGUAUUUGAAUGUGGCAGAACCAGACCAAAAUAUUGAAAGCAGAUGAGGAGAAGGAGGAAAAUAAGAGAAGUGAGAUGUUAGAGAAGUUAUUAUCCUCAGCUAUCUGACUUUCUUCAGGCUCAGGGCAAACUUAGGGGCUGCCCUUCAGAGUCAUCUCAGUAGCAUCCUUGAAAGAAUCAGGGAAGAAAGUGCAGAAAUCAGAUGACAGAAGGAAGCUGUGGCUACCGCAAGUUGAAAAGCAUGUGGUUCCACUUUGGGGGCUUUGAAUUCCAAGGCUCCCAAACACCACAGACCAGCAAGAUCUCACGAAUGGGAUCCCACCCUUAAGUCAGUUUUCAACUGGAGGGCUGCUUGUGGAGAAGACAAUUUCAUUUAUCCUAAGAAUGACACAUAUGAGUAAAGGUAAUAUAUCAACCACACUCAGGAGCUUUCUGCAAACCUGUAACAUGGAUAGAUGUCUAAGAUGCUCAGACCACUCAGGACAGACCCAUUGCCUUACAGUCAAGGUAGGACAAUGUACCUACACAAAAUGACCAUCCUGGUAGCCUGACUAUCUGUACUAGUGCAAAGACAGCACACUCAAGACUUGCAGAGAUGACACACACUGGGGAGCAGAGUGGCUGGGACACAGGCACUGACUUCAUUUAUUUAUUCAUCAGAGAAUCUUUUUUAUGCACAGCGUCCAACCUGAAAGAUAGAGUCGCACAGAUAUACCAACCACACAGCUGACUGAAGCUAAAGGGUCAGAACUUAAAAUUUCCCCUUUUCUCACAAGUUUGAUGGUUUGGAAGGCAUCACGCAUCCAGUAAAUUAUACACAUCUUAACGAUACAGCUACGAAAGAUGGAUACUCCAGUGUUGUCCACAUUGGUAUGAAGACACAGCUGAUUUUUAUCACCCCAGAAAGUUUGCCUGCCCCACCCCAAUGUUGCACAAGGAGCAGCCAUGUUUCGAUUUCGUAUUUUAGCAUAGAUUUGGUUGCCCAUUCUAGAACCUCACUGAAAUUAAAUGAUACAGUACAUAAAAAGUAAUGAAAUGAUUACAUAUUAACAUAAAUAAGU